GUCCCAGACUCCUACGGGAGGCAGCAGUGGGGGAUAUUGCACAAUGGGGGAAACCCUGAUGCAGCGACGCCGCGUGUGGGAAGACGGUCCUCUGGAUUGUAAACCACUGUCCCCAGGGACGAAGAUGACGGUACCUGGGGAGGAAGCUCCGGCUAACUACGUGCCAGCAGCCGCGGUAAUACGUAGGGGGCAAGCGUUAUCCGGAUUUACUGGGUGUAAAGGGAGCGUAGACGGCAGUGCAAGUCCGGAGUGAAAGCCCGGGGCUCAACCCUGGGACUGCUCUGGAAACUGUAAAGCUGGAGUGCGGGAGGGGCAGGCGGAAUUCCUAGUGUAGCGGUGAAAUGCGUAGAUAUUAGGAGGAACACCAGUGGCGAAGGCGGCCUGCUGGGCUUUUACUGACGCUGAGGCUCGAAAGUGUGGGGAGCAAACAGGAUUAGAUACCCCAGUAU
Molecule: ribosomal RNA, 449 nt
Filed under: uncultured bacterium
Lineage: Bacteria
Description: bacterial SSU rRNA
Rfam family: Bacterial small subunit ribosomal RNA
Source: RNAcentral